GACGAACGCUGGCGGCGUGCCUAAUACAUGCAAGUAGAACGCUGAAGGAGGAGCUUGCUUCUCUGGAUGAGUUGCGAACGGGUGAGUAACGCGUAGGUAACCUGCCUGGUAGCGGGGGAUAACUAUUGGAAACGAUAGCUAAUACCGCAUAAUAGUAGAUGUUGCAUGACAUUUGCCUAAAAGGUGCAAUUGCAUCACUACCAGAUGGACCUGCGUUGUAUUAGCUAGUUGGUGGGGUAACGGCUCACCAAGGCGACGAUACAUAGCCGACCUGAGAGGGUGAUCGGCCACACUGGGACUGAGACACGGCCCAGACUCCUACGGGAGGCAGCAGUAGGGAAUCUUCGGCAAUGGACGGAAGUCUGACCGAGCAACGCCGCGUGAGUGAAGAAGGUUGUCGGAUCGUAAAGCUCUGUUGUAAGAGAAGAACGAGUGUGAGAGUGGAAAGUUCACACUGUGACGGUAUCUUACCAGAAAGGGACGGCUAACUACGUG
RNAcentral lists this ribosomal RNA (495 nucleotides) under uncultured bacterium. RNAcentral's name for it is "partial 16S ribosomal RNA". It matches the Rfam family "Bacterial small subunit ribosomal RNA", at positions 28 to 507 of the family's 1533-position model. The record is from RNAcentral.